Molecule: microRNA precursor, 103 nt
Filed under: Marmota monax (woodchuck)
Lineage: Eukaryota; Metazoa; Chordata; Mammalia; Rodentia; Sciuridae
Source: RNAcentral
AGUGGGAUAGCUGGGUCAAAUAGUGGUUCCAUUCCCAUUUUUCUGAGGAAUCUCAAUACUACUUUCCAUAGUGGUUGCACCAAUUUGCAGUCCCACCAGCAAU